RNAcentral lists this ribosomal RNA (253 nucleotides) under uncultured bacterium. RNAcentral's name for it is "partial 16S ribosomal RNA". It matches the Rfam family "Bacterial small subunit ribosomal RNA", at positions 524 to 776 of the family's 1533-position model. The record is from RNAcentral.
UACGGAGGGUGCAAGCGUUAUCCGGAUUCACUGGGUUUAAAGGGUGCGUAGGCGGGCAGAUAAGUCAGUGGUGAAAUCUCUGGGCUUAACCCAGAAACUGCCGUUGAUACUAUUUGUCUUGAAUAUCAUGGGGGUAAGCGGAAUAUGUCAUGUAGCGGUGAAAUGCUUAGAUAUGACAUAGAACACCGAUAGCGAAGGCAGCUUACUACAUGUUCAUUGACGCUGAGGCACGAAAGCGUGGGGAGCAAACAGG